RNAcentral lists this ribosomal RNA (823 nucleotides) under Listeria monocytogenes. Its description in RNAcentral is "partial 23S ribosomal RNA". It matches the Rfam family "Bacterial large subunit ribosomal RNA", at positions 1570 to 2393 of the family's 2925-position model. The record is from RNAcentral. Lineage: Bacteria; Bacillati; Bacillota; Bacilli; Caryophanales; Listeriaceae.
GAAGGAAAUUAAGUACGGAAGUUCCUGAUUUCACGCUGUCAAGAAAAGCCUCUAGGAAGAGUAGUACUGCCCGUACCGCAAACCGACACAGGUAGAUGAGGAGAGAAUCCUAAGGUGAGCGAGAGAACUCUCGUUAAGGAACUCGGCAAAAUGACCCCGUAACUUCGGGAGAAGGGGUGCUCUAUUAGGGUGCAAGCCCGAGAGAGCCGCAGUGAAUAGGCCCAGGCGACUGUUUAGCAAAAACACAGGUCUCUGCAAAACCGUAAGGUGACGUAUAGGGGCUGACGCCUGCCCGGUGCUGGAAGGUUAAGAGGAGUGCUUAGCUUCGGCGAAGGUACGAAUUGAAGCCCCAGUAAACGGCGGCCGUAACUAUAACGGUCCUAAGGUAGCGAAAUUCCUUGUCGGGUAAGUUCCGACCCGCACGAAAGGCGCAACGAUCUGGGCACUGUCUCAACGAGAGACUCGGUGAAAUUAUAGUACCUGUGAAGAUGCAGGUUACCCGCGACAGGACGGAAAGACCCCGUGGAGCUUUACUGCAACCUGAUAUGGAAUGUUUGUACCGCUUGUACAGGAUAGGUAGGAGCCGAAGAGACGUGUGCGCUAGCAUACGAGGAGGCAAUGGUGGGAUACUACCCUGGCUGUAUGACCAUUCUAACCCGCCACGCUUAGCGCGUGGGGAGACAGUGUCAGGUGGGCAGUUUGACUGGGGCGGUCGCCUCCUAAAGAGUAACGGAGGCGCCCAAAGGUUCCCUCAGAAUGGAUGGAAAUCAUUCGCAGAGUGUAAAGGCACAAGGGAGCUUGACUGCGAGACUGACAAGUCGAG